Molecule: long non-coding RNA, 18467 nt
Filed under: Durio zibethinus
Lineage: Eukaryota; Viridiplantae; Streptophyta; Magnoliopsida; Malvales; Malvaceae
Description: long non-coding RNA (DZIB_LNC001744)
Source: RNAcentral
GUCAGUGAGCUAUUUAUUGCCGCCAAUAGCGCUUCGCUUGCAUGCAAGGCGGCACGCCAGGUAGAGCUAUCGCUAAGGGCGAAGGAGAUGCAUUUCUGUACUGGUAGUACUGGACAAGCUCUCAGGGAAUAAUCUCUUUCUUAUUUCUGCCUUUCUUUCCCAUGACGACUAGGAACAGGCAAAUCAAAAAUUUCACUUCGAAUUUCGGACCUCAACAUCCUGCUGCUCAUGGUGUCUGGAAGGAAAAUGGGGAGAAUAAGGGAUAGAGAAAGACGAAGGCUGUUCAUCUCAGCUUGCUUUUCUUUUUUUUAAUUUCAUUUUUUUCGAAGUAACUGUUCUUUGUUUUCCCCUAGAAUGUCACUUCUUUUUCUCUUGGAAAAUUUGCAGAGAGACAGACUAAUUCUUUUUAUUUGGUGUUCCUCAAAAUUUGAAAGUUUUUUCCUUUUUAAAGUCAAAAUUCUAAUAUUUCUUCUUUUUUGGAUUAUUUGAUUUUCUAAUUAGAAACUUGAAUCAACAAUAGGUCAAAGGAGGUGGAAAUGAAAAGGAAGUGAAGAAGAGAGAACGGGAAUCUUUGAGUAACUUGGCUCAUGGAAACCAUCCAGAAGGGUUCCCUUUUUUCUAAAUUAAGCUAACUGAACAUGAACAUAUUAUUAGAAAGUAUUAUCCCAAGAACAAAGGUCAUCUGACAUAUAUUGAUCUAAUUAGUAAUUCUCCUGUGAUUAUUAGAGAGGUAGAACAUUAUGAUCGCGGAAGCUUGUGUGGCACAUUUGAUCUGAGUGUAAAUUACUAUUCUAUUACUGUUGAAAUCGUACAUAUCCUUGGUUGUUUUUAAGAUUUUAAAGCACAAUUUCUUGUGGUCUACCUCAUUGUUCUCUUUGGUUGCAUCCCUUAUAAUUUUAUAUGUUUGUAUGUUUUAUAUGAUUCAGUCUAUAUUGGAGGAAAUUUCAUCUACAUGGAUGAAUGUUUCUUUAAGAAUGAAAGAUGACCCAGAAACCGAUAAGGCAUUAGGAUACGUGUUAGAAAUGUGAGAAACUUUUUACUAAUUUUGUCUUUAUUUUAUUCUUUUGCUUGAUAUGGCCUUUCACAUAGGUGAUCAUUUGAUUGAACUUAGGUAUGCAUAUGUUGUGGCAACAGCACUGCAUGGCGUGUGCUAUUUACUUCGUAAAGACUUCAUGCCCCAAGUUCUAACAAUACAUUAUGGGUCUUCCUUUUUUCCCUCAAUGACUUUUAACCAGCAGUUGAAAUUUAACUUCAGUUUUUGUUUGUUAUCAACCACCAUAGGAUUUGGAAGUAGGGAAGAAAUUUAUAAUCUAUUAUACUUAUGGAUGAGACUACAAUUUAAAGGUACAAGGAUCUUUCUUUCUAAUUUGUUAUAUUUAAAGACUAAUGUGUAAGCUGUAAUUUUUUACCUCUUUAAGAUAAUUUUGCCUUCCUAGCCAUAUUUUAUACCAUAAGUUCUUCACUCUACGUCGGCAUUACAAGGAGAAUUAAUAUAUGGAAAGAUUGGAGAAUGGCGUUUUGACAAGUGAUUAUAUCUUAGUAGGCCUCAACCAAGAAACCUCUCUUUGCUUCCUUCAAGUGUUCUUAAAAGUGUGAUAAGUUCAUUGAUAAGUUUCAUUUUCUAGGGAUCCUUUGGGAAAUUAUAAAUACAGGCCACCUAGUAAAAAUAGAAGUUGAUAGAUUGAUCAUUAAGUAAAAAAAUUCGAACCACACCCCAGAGUGAAUUUUUUUAGUUACUGUACCCAAAAGCAAGAUGCAGUUAAAGGCUGUAAUUAGUGUCUCAAUCAUUAUUGGUUCAUCAAAUAGCUUUGUAUUUUAUACUCAGUUCAAAUUACGUUGCAAAUGCUUUAAUCUUCAUUGCGUAGACUGAACAUUAUUUGGGAAAUUCAAAAUUCAAAAUUACAGCUUGAUUUCCUCAUCAUUAUUAGCUUUAGUUAUCAACUCAAUGUGAUUGGGAAUUGAUGACAUUAAGUUGGUGAUAAUCAAUGUCAUAAAUACUACUAAAGUAGCAGCUUGGAACUCAUAUUUUGCCAUUGCCUCUAGAAGCAAUAGCAUAAUCAGUCAAUCGCCCUUAGGUUUUGCUAUUUGCUUUACCAUUAGGACAGUGUUCCCUUUUUUGUUCACUAUAUUUUAGUUAUUUUAAUUUGUAAAUUUAAUAAGUUUAAUAUUUUAUUGGCCUAGAAUGCAAACUUUAUUUUUUAUGUAAUUUUCCUUUCUUUAAAAUUGAAUUAUAUAAUUCUUGACUGUAGGAAGUGAAUUUAUUUCGGUUGAGUUUGUUGAAACUUGCUUUGAUGCAUAAUUUUUUUUUUGGUUAUUUACUUUUUCAACUGAAAUUUAAGGUUUAGUUUUGAAAAGAUGAGACAUUGUAGAGAAGGUCUCAUUGAUUUGUAUGAGGUUUAUAAAUGUGGUGAUUACUUAGCUUGCAAUUGCAAAAACUGUAACUCCCCCGACUUUGUGGGCAUUUUUGUUGUUGUUGGAAUAGGCCUCAUUUUAACAUUUUUUAAUUACUAUUGUUAAAAGGCAUGGUUUGUUGAAUUUGAAGUCAAUGUGUUGAAGUUUCUAACAAUUCCAAAAUCCAAAUUAAACAACUGGUACGUUUUCCUAAGUCAUUAAUGGAGCCUAUGCUAUGUAAUUAGAAAAAAAUAAAAGAUGAUAAAAUGCAGCUGAAGUUUUUAGUUCAACUUUACCACUGGCCAUAACAGUUGCAGUAUCUUCAUAAUUAAGCUACUUAUUAAUGAGUAGAUUAUUUUGGAAGGUUUUUAGUCUCUUGGUAUAUGUAUGAGUGUCACGAACUUAAGGAAGAGUCUUGAAUCUCACAUUGAACAUAAUAAGAGGUUCACUGGGGUAUAAAAGGGUUCACACCACUUCUUCCUUGUGAGGCGUCUUCUGUAGGACAAAAUUGUGAGGUUGGGGGGCCAGAGCGGACAAUACCUCAUAAGGGUGUGAAUCGUGGCAGUUAAGCUGAUCCGGGACAUCGGAUGGGUGAAUGUCCGGGUCCCGGAGUCGUGUGGGUUUGGAGCUUAAGUCUCGACCCGUGACAAGUGGUAUCAGAGCUAGCCCUAAACCGUUCGAUCCAUGUCGAGCGCCUGAGUGAGGUAGGUAGGGUGGCCAGCCUCCAUGACGAAAGCGUCAUGAGGUUGGGUGGGGGAAAAUGUCACGGACCUAAGGAAGAGUCAUAAAUCUCACAUUGAACAUAAUAGGAGGGUUACUGGGUAUAAAAGAGUUUACACCACUUUUUUUAGGAUAAAACUUGUGAGGGUCAGGGGGUCAGUGAGCGGACAAUACCUCAAGGGUGAACUGUGACAGUAGGUUGAUUUGGGAUGUCGGAUGAGUGAAUGCCCGAUCCGAAAUCGUGCGGUUUUUGAAACUUAAGUCUCGACCCGUGACAUGAGAAAGUAGGUAAAGUCAUGGGAAUAUAGAAUUCAUACCCAAAGGAUCUAGAACUGUCAGUGCAUGAGGUUAACAAAAUCAUUUAUAGUAUUGAGGACUUUUUGUUCUCGAAAGGCCAGGUCUAAUGAUCUAAUGAAAAUGGUGACUGCAGAAAUCGGGCUAUGAUUGAUGGAGGUGUAGAUUACAGCUUUGAAUGUGCUGGAAACCUUGAGGUUCUUUUUUGUCUACUUAUACCGUUAAGUCCUUUUCUAUUACUCUUUGCCUCUGGUUUUUUAGUUUCAUUUUGUUAAUAUAAAAAGAAUAAAAUUUUUUAUUUUUCUUACCAUUAAUAAAGCCUUGCAUAUUAGAUUACAAGAAUGAAUGUAAACGGAUUUGAAGGGCAUCAUUUUGGAUAUACAGGAAUGGGGAUUGACUGUACUAUUGGGAAGUCACCCAUGCCCAAUGUUGCUACCUCUCCAUCAAAUUGAGUAAUUUAACGGGCGUCAAAUCUUAUGAUCGAUCUUUGGAGGCUUCUAAGGCAAAACCCGACUACCAAAGUUUGCCAAACAAUGCAUGUGUGGGGUAAGUUAAUGAUCAAGCUCUGGUACUUUCUUUGUAUAUAGUUGAGUUUUUUAAGUCCAAUGCCAUUAAAUUUACAUUGUUGUCAUGGUUAAAAAAUUACUAAUAUAUGUUUGCAGUUGUUUCUGUAAGUUAGGAAAGAUGAUCAUAUAUGUUGGUUCUCAGUUGUGGCUGCAAUCAUAUCUUCUACCUAUUUUUGCGUUGCUCUUGGUUUUGAAAUUGUUAAAGUUGCACACACACACACAUAUACAUUUAUUAGUUUUUGGACAACUAAUUUUUUAAGCAUGGAGAUUAAAAUUUUGAUCUUAAACUGAAGUUUGGUGUUCAUUUUGGUCAGUUAUUAAAACUCUUGAUCUGAUGCUUAUUGGAAUAAGCAUAAGAAGAGUAACAUAAGCCAAAAAAAAUGGAGCUUCCAAAUUCAAACUAAUCCUACUUUAGUUAGCUAGAUUAUUUUAGUUAAGUUUCUUAUAAAAAUAUGAUAUGUAUAGUUUACAAAUUGUGAUUGAUUCAAUAAAAUUUAUUAUAUCUUACUUUUCUUUGAUGCAUAAAUUCUUAGAUUGACUUUGUUUUAAUUAUUUUUUCUUAGUAUACUUUUUUUUCAAUAAAAUAAAAAUAUUAUAUAUUUCAAAAUUUUAAUUAUGCUAAAUAAAAACACUUAUGGUGAAGCACGGGCAUCAUACUAUUGUUAAUAAAAGUCUUUACCUUAAUUCGUACACAAUAUUUCUAAUAUCUUUGAAAACAAUUUUAUGAUAUUAUUUUGAUACAAGUUUGCCAUUUCUGAGAUCAAAUUAAACAAAAUUUUUUUAUUUUGUAUUUGUUUGAAUACGAAUUAAGUUAAAUGGAAUCAAACUAAUUAAUACAUUCACAUAAACAUUAUCUAAUUUUUAAUAUGAGUUGAAUUAGAAUUUUAUUUCUCAUAUAAUUUCACAUAAGUACUAUAGGAAGCAUAUUACUAAAAAGAUUGAGAUAUGUGAUAUAUAAAUAAACACAUAUUGGUAAAAAUUAAUAACAAGUAUUAUUCUCAAUUACUCUAAUAAUAACUUUCUAAAACUUUCUCUUACUUAAUUUUUGACUAUUUACAUUACUAGAAAAAACUUACAUGAAGUUUUUUUUUGGUGAAUUUAUGUGAAGUUUGUAAAGUUCUUUCUUAAAAAUGAUUUAGUAAAAACUUUAAUAAAAAAUCCAAAUUGAUAAACUAAUAGAGUUCAAUGUAAACAAUUAAUAAUAUAUGCAAAAAUUAUUAAAAAUAUUAUUUAUAAUUUAAAUUUGAUCGAUACUUAUUCAAUAGUAAAAAUUCUAUCAAUAUUUUUACUAAAAAUGUUAAAAAUUCUAUCAACAUUUUUACUAAAAUUGUCUAUAUAAAAAAUAUAUCAAAAUUUAUUAAUUUUUUUUUCAAAAUUUGCACACUUAAUCUAUGUAACAAGAAUUUUUAAUAUAUCAAUUUAUAUUAUAGAUUUUAGUUUUUAUAUAAUUGUUUUUAAUAUAAAACUUAGCAUAAAAAAUUUCCUCUAAAUCUUUCUCCUAUAUUACUACAUAGAAUCAUACGAAAAUAGAAUAAGAAAUAGAUCCUAGAGGUUUGUAAAAAAGUAAUAAAUAAAUUGAUUUGGAAAUCCAAAUUAUCAUGAAGCAUAUAAUCUUAAGUCUAAUAUUACUAGAUUAUUCACAUUGUAGAAGUCUUUGGAGUUAAAGUAAUACUAACUAGCAGCAAAAAAAGGGUUUUUUUUAAUGUAUUUAUGUCAAACCAAAUCUUUGACAAUAUUAAACAAUCAGCCUAUUCCUAAUUAUUAGCUUGAAGCCUUGAACCAUUGAACCUUGACACGAUUAAGAAUGAUUAUAAAGCAAAUUUGUGUUACUAUUUCAAAGAUGAUUUUCACUUUUAGCCACUGCAUUACCAAACAUUUCCCAUAAAUUUCCCCCUUUCAUAAGUCCUAACUACUAAGUAGAAACUUUUCACCAUAAAGUUGUCAGGGUUGGACUACAGCCUACUAGGGUGUAAUUGGAUUGAAUCAAAUUAAUAUAGUAAAAAAGUUGAACUCAAACUCGAUUUGAAAUUCAUUGUUCGAAAUUUGUUGCUCAAAAUUUAAUUUGAGUUCGAUCAAAUUUUGAUUUUCAAACUUGAGUUCAACUUGAAAUAAAUAUCAAGUUACUUAAGUUCUCUCUCGAUUAGACUCGUUUACUAAAUAAAAAAGAGCUCAAUUUCAAAUCUUCAUUGUAAGCUUGAUUAUUUAUGUUUGAACUUAAGUUUGUACUCGAAUUGAUAUACAUAUAUAACGAUAAAAAAUAAUUUUCUAAUUAAAAUAACAAAUAUAUGUUAAAAUAUAAAAGUUUUAAUAGGAUCGCGAACUAUUUAAGUCAAACAUUAAAAUAUCGAACUCGGCUCGCUCAAUAAGUUGAGCUACUCGACUUUGGCUCAAUAAUAAUUGAACAAAUUUUGAGUUUUAUCCAAAUCAAAACUUAAAAGAGUUUAUGAAUAUUGAUAUAUCAUUUGCAUUCUUAAAACCUACCAUAUUCAGGUUAUUGCUGGGCCAAGCACCAAUUCAAAAUGUCUAUGUUGGGUUAAACUAAGACCCUUGUAUAGCUAAAGUUAAUUUCCACAAAUUCCUUACUAAUUCAGCAACAACAUCCAAAACAUAAGGUUGCAGCUCCCAAAUUUAACAUUUUGCUUAUAAGAGUUGGCUCAACUCAAAGCCCUCAAAUCAUGUACCAACUUUUCCUUUUUGUUUUACUAUCAUUUUUUUUUCAUUUGAGAAAACAUCUAUAUUCUUCUUAUUUUGGUUCAUCUCGUGCAACUUUACUGAUGCACUACUAGCUUCACCAAUCACCACUUUUACAUAUUGUUGUUGGUGAACCAUAAAAAAAAUGUUCACACAAACAAAAAUUGUCAAUCUUUAAGUAAUGCAAAGUGUCAAUGGGGCCUUAAACCAAUGAUAGACCCCUAUAGCCACUAAGUAAAAAGGCUUAGCACUAAUGACAAUAUUCGUCAACUAUGGACUGCUUAUGUUUGGUAUCUUUUUAAGGAAGGCACCUGAUUUUCAUUGAAUGGUAUUAGAGCGAGGGGAUAGUACCUCGUUGAAUUAUCUUCCCUCGUUGAAUGGUAUUAAAGUUUCAACCUUAUUUAGUUUGUUAGUUUUUUGGUGUCAUCUUCUUGUUGUUGUCAUCUCUUUGUUGAAUGGUAUUAGAGUUUUCUUGAGGUAUAUAGAAUAAAAAAACUAAUAUAUUAUUAGACUGGUGGAAUUAGAUAACCAAAACUUCUUUCUCAUGAAUAUGUUAAACACUAUUGAUUCACAACCUUCAACCUCUAGAUCUUUUUUUUCUUUACCUUAUCCUGUAUUUAAAGAAUCAUUUUCUUCUAAAUUAAAUGUCCUUUAUGAAAUUAAUUGUAUCCCAAAAAAUAAAAAAAAUCCAAGAAACAUAACUUCCUCUUGUAAAUCCUUAUAAUGCUUUCUCUAGAUCUCCUACUUCUUUAGUUAUAUCCAUAAAAACCCUUCUCAAACAAAAAUGUAAAGCUCUAAAAGAAUAAGUUCAAGCUUCUAAGUUUGAUUAAUGUAUUCUUCUAGUAGGAUCUUAUGAGCACUUUGUUACUCUUAAGAUUUCUUUAGAAUUUCUAGAAUAGUGGAUAGAACAAAGAGACACCCAUAUCCACUUUGGUGUUAUUAGAAUAGCAUUAAGUUUUUAUAGGCUAAAUGGUAAUCCUAUUUGGACCAAGAUGGCUUUACUGUAUACAAGGUUUAAAGACUAUAAGCAUGCAAUAUUUGACAUAAUUGAGAUGACUUUAAAUGUGAGAAUUGUUUCUACACAGUAUUUCCUAACUACAACAUGUCUCUACAAUAUCAUACUCUUUAAAUGCUCUAAAAGUUUAAGUUUAGUUUGUUGGAACUCAGAAGAAAGAAUUUCAGGCAACUCUUCACUAUUAGAUGGCUUACAGAAUCCAAGAUCAUGCCAUAAACCUCCAUUUGCUUGACAUUGGCAGUGUAGUCUUUGUAAAGUUAAAAGUUGUAGACAAGAGCCCCAGAUGCAUUUACAUUCUAAAAUAGAUUUUAAAUGAAGAUUUCGCUACCCUGCUUUUUCAGUUAUGGACAACAAGUUACCAAAAGCUUUGGAACUAGAAUGUACCCAUCGAACACUUUAAUCUUUGCUACACCAUAAACCUAGAUGGUACUAUCACAAUCAAAUUUGAUCAUAAUAAGCAAAAAGAAACCCCUACUCUAGCCUUUGUCUUUCCAACAUAGUUUAUGAUGCAACCAUGUCAACUAGAGCCAAAUGUAGUAGUUACACACUUUAAGCCUAAUGGAUUACUUGUAUAUACAUAUAGAUCUCCAGAAAAACAUUACUAUUGAGACAUUGAUUGUAGUUGCAAAAGAUGCCAGAUGGAAAGACAUAGAAGUUUAUUUGACGAUCACUAUAAUAAUUAAAAAAAAAACAAGACGCAAAUCUUUCAGCAAAAGUUGAAAGAAAGAUUUGAAAAUGGAGACCUUAAAGUAAAUAUCCUUGGCAAACCUUUGAGAAAGUUUGAUUAUUAUGUCAUUUAUCCCAAAGACAAGAAGCUAGACAUCCCUUAGUCAAAUUGUUCAAACCAAAAACCUGAAAAGCCAAAACCUUGACCAAAAAUACCCUUACCUUGUUAUGCUGUUAGUUUUGCUUACAUUGCUAAAAAAUAUUCAGAAAAAGCCAAGCUCUAAAAAACUAUAAAUAAUAAGUCAACAAUGUUGUUCUAGAUGUUUCUCCUAAACCUUUUUUUCAAAUUUGUAUGAUGUAGCCAAUAAGAUCUUCUGAUUCUUAUGAUGCAAAAUUUCUUUUUUUUUUCUAGGAAUUCAUAAAAGAUCAAUAUAAGUACAUCCCAAAAAUCUCAAAUAGCUAAUUGAAUGCAACAAUGGUUACACUUAUUCCUUUGUUGAAAGCAAAAGAGAAAUGAAAAGCCUCAAGCUUCAACUAGCAGGUAUCAAAAAUCAACUUUGUCAUAAACAACAAUAACAAGCCUCAAGUUCAAAUAUCUUUGCCCUAGUAAACAUUGGAAUGCAUGAUAUUCCUUACCAAGCAUACACUCCACAUUCACCUCCAAAACCUUUCUUCACCCCAUUCUAAUACAAAACUAAACUAAGCACAUUAGUGUUCACACCCCUAAUCUACAACCAUUACCUUAUACCCUUAGAUAAUAUUUUUUACGCCCAUUUCGGAACAACCAUUCUUUACUCCCCCUUUAAAUAAAUAAAUAUAUUUAGAUAAAAAAUAGUCAAUUGAACAGAAACCUAAAAAUGCAAAACAACCACUUCUUUAAUUUUCAAAACCAAAAACAGUCGCAACCACAGUUGCAAUUUUAUUUACCCUCAUUUCUGAAAACUCAACUGGUGAUUCUUCUAAACCAUUAUCCCAGGUUAUGAUUUCUUCCACACCAAACAUCUUUCCUAGAAUUUUCUAGUAAAUGGCACAAGAAAAUCUUCUUCAGUUUUUAAUUGAAGGCAUUUUUCCUACUAGAGAUGUAUAAGAUACUUCUAUGAUGGACUUUGAUGAAGUAUUUUUUGAUGAUGAGACUAAUAGUGUCAUCCAAUAGAUCUUCAUAAUAGAACUAAUAGUUGAAAUCCUAGAUGACAAUCUAGUAGUUCAUAACCUAGAAUAAAUGGAUAGUGAUCAAGAACUUCUUUCUUUUUUUUUUUUUUUUUAAGCUCAUAAUUCCUUAUCAUUAUCCAGAUUCUCAGUGUUCACAAUUGAUGACUUUCUUACAUCCAAAUGGCAUUCAAGAUUCCAAGAAUUUUUUCCAUAGGGGUAGUUGAAUUGAAUUCUAAUCCUAACAUCAAAAUGCUGAUAGUUUUAAUAUGUUUUGUUUCAAGGCUGGUUGAAACCUUCAAUAACUUUUAGGAUAAUAUUGGUGAAUAUAGAUGGUUACAGUUUCUUCAAUGCCAUAUAAUUACAAAAGCUGUAUAUUAGUUUUUAGCAAUAUUUUGUGGCUAAGAAACUUAUCGAAUGGAUAAGAUUAAAGAGUAAUUUUUCAAGUUAAAAUACUGUUCACUCAAUCCAAAAGAUCUUGACAAACGCUACCAACAAUUUUUUUAGUAUUUUUAUCUGCUUGGUGGAUUGGAUGAUGUUAAUCUGAAACAAGCUUUCUUCAACUCAGUUUCAGAAGAUCUUGCUUAAUAGAUAAGAACUCAACUCAAUCUUAGAUCUCUUGAUUUGAAAAGCAUGAACCUUAGUGACAUUUACAAGGUUAUAAUGAAAGCUUUUGACAAGAUUUAUGAAGAGCACAAGUACAUUAUAGACUUUGUGAACAAUUACAGAAAAAUAGAUAGACUAUGUUCUUAUUCUUCAAUUGGUUACAGAUCAAAUUUUUUGAAAAAAGCUCAUCAUAUUUUUGUUAUUAGAAGAAGAAAAAACAAUUCAAAAAGUUCAAUGUGUUUAGACGCCUCAAAAGCUAUAAUUUUUCAAACACAAGAAACUUUCCAAAAAGCUUAAAAGAUUUCAAAGAUUCAAGUUAGGUAGAAAGAAAAGAGACUAAAAGAAAAAAAAGGUAACAAAUUUUUUUUUAUGGAAAAUCAAGUUAUUUUGCAAAGAACAAUCCAAAAUCUGAUGAGAAAUCCAUUAAGAUGAUACAGGAUAUUGCAAAUAUCAAGCUUCCUUAAUGGUCUUAGAAAUAGACACAAUCAGUAAAGAUGCUCAAGGUCAAGUUAAAGUUUAUUUUAGCCUUGAAGAUUCCCUCAGAUAUCAAAAGAAUCUUAUAGACUGAUGAAAGUGAUAAAUUUUAAUCCAUGAUUCUCUUUAAAGGAAAAGAUGAAAAAAGAUAGAUAUGUGGAUACAAAAGUAGCAAAUUCAAAUUGUAGACACCCAAUCAGGUCCGGGCCCGGAUCAAUUGGGCCUGACCCGGAUCAAUUGGGCCUGACCCAGAUCAUUUGGGCCUGGCCCAAAUGGGCAAGGCCCAAUUGAAUUUUUACCCGUAUUUUUUAUUUUUUAUUUUUAUUUUUUUUUCUCUCUUGUGUAUUUUAUUAUUUAUUAUUAUGUAUUAAUAUAUGUAUAUAUAUAUAUAUAUAUUUUUUUUCAUUAGAAUAGAUUUAUAUGUAUAUAGUUAUAUAUUUAUUAUUAUUAUAUUAUUAUUCUUAUCUUUUUUUUAAUUAUCUGUUCUGAUUUUUUCUGAUUUUCAGAUAUUAUUUGAAAAUUUUUUGUCUUUUGAUUUAUCUUUCCAAUUAUCUAGAUUUUUUUUUUAAUUUUAUUUUAAUUUUUAUUUUGGAGGGCUAGGAUUCAAAGUUGAAGACUCCCACUCUGAAGGGGAAUUCAAUCAGAAGAGUCCAAUUGGAUUCAAAGACUGAAUUCCCGUCCAAAGAGGAAUUGGGAUUGAUCAGAAACUCCUGAUCAAUCCCUAUAAAAAGGACCCCCCUGGAACAGUCAAGAACACACAGAAAACAGAAGCAAAAGCUACUGAUUGAGAGAAUAGGGGUGUUUAGAGAGCUAAGGAAAAGUUUAGGAGUGUUCUGGCAGUGAGAAAAAUUUUUUAGAAAAAUUUGGCGAAAAAAUUUUCUAGAAAUUUCCAGAUUCCGGCGAAAAUUCCGGCGACUUUUGAAUUUUUCGGCGACAAUUCCGGCGAACUUUGAAGUUUCCGGCGACAGACCCAGUUUCCGGCGGAGAAUCCCAGAAACCGGCGACCAUCCGGCCAAUUUCCGGCGAAAUUCCCAGAUUCCGGCGAAAUUUCCAGAAUCCGGCACCGGCGUUCUUCAAAUUCUAGAGAGAAGGCAGAGAAGAAGGGAAGAAGAGAGAGAGAGGGGAGGAACGGAGGAAGGUGCCUUUUAUACCCUCCCAAAACGACGUCGUUUUGGCUUUAAGUUAAUAAGAGGAUCCGCGCGUUUUGCCGAACCCGACCCGACCCGAAGCGUCGACCCGCUUUCUGACCCGCGCGUUUCAGCCCCUCCGAGCCGAGCCGAGCCGCGAUCCGAGCCGCUCCAGGUUUUUUUUUUUUUUUUUUUUUUUUUUUUUGAAUUUUUUUUAUUUGACUUUGAUUUUGAUCUUGAUUUUUUUUUCUUUUUUCUUUAAUUAAUCCGACGACGGAGCCUCUAAAAGUAAAAACAGUAGUUUUUCUUGCAUACUCCUGAGGUGAGGGAAUUUUCUCAAUUUUCUGCUAAAAGUAUUAGAGACAAUUGAGAAUAAUUUCCGAUAAUUAAUUACUUGGCUGAUUUUGAUUUUUUUUUUCUUUAAUUAAUCCGACGACGGAGCCUCUGCAAGUGAAACAGUAGUUUUUCUUGCAUACUCCUGAGGUGAGGGAAUUUUCUCAAUUUUCUGCUAAAAGUAUUAGAGUCAAUUGAGAAUAAUUUUCGAUAAUUAAUUAAUUGGUUGAUCUUGAUUUUUCUUUAAAUAAUCCGACGACGGAGCCUCUGCAAGUGAAACAGUAGUUUUUCUUGCAUACUCUUGAGGUGAGGGAAUUUUCUCAAUUUUCUGCUAAAAGUAUUAGAGUCAAUUGAGAAUAAUUUUCAACAACUAACUACUUGGUAAAAUUUUAAGGCUUUUGGAUAACACAAAUUCAAGCUGGUACCAUCUUUUGAUGGGCGUUGUGAGGGUGCUAUAACCUUCCUCACACGUAACCGAACUCCCGAACUCUGUUCUGGUUAAGCAGACCCGAACCUAUUCUUUUAGGGACCCUUAAGCUUAGGUGUUCCCUAAAAGGGCAGAUUCCUUAGGUGGCCAAUCACACCUGGAUAAAAGAUUGGUGGCGACUCCCUAAAGUCAAUGUCUGGCGAUAGAUCCCCGGAUCUAGACGUUAUGACAGCUUGGCGACUCCACUGGGGACCUUGAGAGUCAGGCCAGCAAAUAAUUUGUGUUAUCCAAAAGCCUAAUAAAAUUGAACCCUUUUUGUAUAUAUGUAUUAUUAUUCAUUCAUGUCUGUUAAUUAUGUCAUUCAUAUGCAUGUGCAUAACAUGAGCUCUACACCCGAGCUCCGUCCCUUUAGGAGGGAGUAAAGUACCUAUUGCUUUCGUGAGGUCUAAUGCCUCCGCAGUGGCUAGCGAAAUACUCCCACUCAAAUUGAACCUUUUCCGCUUGUAGCCUGUAAUGGGUGAGGAUUAGGGUGCCUUACUAGUCUAUGAUGGACAAGGAUGUAAGGAACAAUUUGAGGACCUUUAGACUCUGACUUUAAAACCACAUGUAGCGAACCUUAAGAGUGCCUAACCCUAGGAUAGAGUCCUUUCUACCCAAUGAUAGAUAUACCCUGAAAUUAGGACACAAAAAAGGUGUUUAUCUAAUCAUUUUGAUUGCUUAACUUUGUGUAUUAUUUUUUGUAAUGUUAUGCAUCAGCAUUACUUUCAUUUCAUUCAUGAAACUAACUAUGUUGUUUGUCUGAUUGUAUGCAUCUGUAUUCUUUUCAUGAUCAUGUUUCAACACAAUCAUUUGCAUUCAUUUCAUGCUAGAUUUCAUUCAAAAAAAUGUACAUUUCAUUUGUGUAUCAAAGCAUCAUACAUAAGGCACAGCAUAACAUUUCUAAUCAUGAGUAUGGUACUCAAGGUCCGAGGAUAGCUCCAUCUAGCGAAAACCUUGCUCAUCCAUACAACACAAGAUCCAGAGCAAGGCAAAUGGAGGAGGAAAGUUCUCAUAGAUUUGAAAAGCUAGAAAAAGCUCAGGAGAAGAUUGAAAAUGAACUUAGCAAAAUUCUGGAGGCCCUCAAUAAUAUGAAUAAAGGAAAAGGAGUUGAAGGAAGUACAAGCCAGCAAGAAGUGGCUGACCCAUUGUAUCCUCCAGGUUUUGGCCCACCUCAAGCCCAGUCUGCCCAAGAGGUCCCGCCACAACAUUUCGCCUAUCCUGGAAUGCCAUCAGCUUUCAACCCAGGACAGUAUAACAGCUAUAUAAAUCCUGUCUUCACUGAAAAGGCAGCAGAACCAAUUCCUGAUCUAGAUGAUUUAAAAGAGAAGGAAAAGGAAAAGAUGAGAGUAGAGGCUGAGGAAAGUUCCAAGAUUAGCAUGCUAGAGCAGAGGCUAAGGGCUGUGGAAGGAUUUAGCUGUUAUGGGUCAGUAGAUGCUGCUGGGCUCUGCCUAGUCCCUGAUGUGGUUAUCCCCUAUAAGUUCAAAGUACCGAAGUUUGAAAAAUAUGACGGUACAAAGUGUCCCAAAACCCACAUCACCAUGUAUUGCAGAAAGAUGGCAGCUCAUGCACAUGAUGAAAAACUCUUGAUGCAUGUUUUUCAGGACAGUCUUACUGGCUCUGCCGCCAGAUGGUAUGUUCAGUUGGAUAGGACUCGUAUUCGCUCUUGGAGUGAUAUGGCACAUGACUUCAUCAGUCAAUAUCGACACAUUAUCGAUUUGGCUCCUGAUCGUUUGUCUUUGCAGAAUCUGGAGAAAAAGUCAAACGAGUCUUUUAAAGAGUACGCCCAAAGAUGGAGAGAUAUAGCUUCACAGGUACAACCUCCACUGACAGAGAAAGAGACCACAGUGCUGUUUGUUAGCAUUUUAAAACCUCCCUAUUAUGAAAAGAUGAUAGGGAAUGCAACAAAGAAUUUUGCUGACAUGGUAAUCUCUGGAGAAAUUAUUGAAAGUGCCAUAAAAAAUGGCAAGUUGACAGGAGGAGAAACCAAGAAGACAUCAGAAAAGAAAGAAGCUGAAGCUCAAGCUGUAAGCUUUGAUAGACAACAAUUCAGGGGUUAUCAACCCUAUCCAUCCCAAGGCUACUCUCCAUACUAUCCCGCUGUGAAUAACGCCUCAUCCUACCCAUACCAGCUAGCCCCACAACCAUCUUAUUCAUCCACUUACUGCCUUAACAUUCAAGCUCCUGUAAGAACCCAAAUUCGUCCUACUAACCCAGCAAGUGGCUCACGAGAACAACGGACUACUCGAGAAAAACCUGUAUUUGAUCCAAUCCCUAUGACUUAUACAGAGUUAUAUCGAGAACUCUAUAAUAGCCACUUGAUUGCCCCCAGCCAUGUGGAACCACUUAAACCACCAUAUCCAAAGUGGUAUGAUCCUAUAGCCCGUUGUGACUACCAUUAUGGAAUUACUGGCCAUUCUACUGAAAAUUGCACUGCUUUAAAGUAUAAGGUGCAACGAUUGAUCAAUGAUGGAAUGGUAAGUUUUGAUCAGGGAAAAGCAACGGCAUCUAAUGUUAGUGCUCUGAACGAAAGUCAAGAACAGAAAGGAUCCGGAGAUUCACAAUGAAUUGAGGGGCAAGAUGUCAAUGGAGAUAAGGCUGGUUGAAGGUUUCUUCUGUCAUUUUGGGAUUUCUUUUCAAACAAUGUUAGAUUUUUUUUGCAAUAUGACUUCACUUGUUAUCAUUUUAAUAAAGGCAAGUCAAUGCAUUUCAUUACAUUUUUCUCUUUCACUUGACCAUUUAUUCCAUGCCUUGUUACCUUCCAUAACUUCACAUUCCCAUUCUUAAAUUUCAGAUGAUGAAUAUUUAGACAAUGAUAAUAAUGAUUCUGGGAUUUAAUUUUGAGAACUCAUUCACAGAGGAGAUGAUCUGAGCGAAAAUAAAGAGGGUAAGCCAUUACCAGAGAUGAAAGAGAUAUAUCUUGAAGGUGUGCAAUCUUUUAUACAAGUUCAUGAGCUUUGUUCAAUAGAUGAUGUUCAAGAAAGGUAUUCACAAUUGAGAUGAAAAAUGGCCAUCUUUCUUUUACCAUUUGAAAAACCAUUUAUUGUUACCCCUUUGAGCUUAUCAUUUUUUUUUUGAAGAACCCCAACCAAGGAUCACCCUCUACACUGGAGGGUAAUUUUUGAAAAAAAAAAAAAAAAAAAAAAACCACAAAAGGUCUCAAAGAUGAAAAGAGAAAGAAAAGUAAAAGAAAAAAUAAAUGCCACACAUGUCUUGGGGCAAAGUAAUGAGAAUCCUUUGUGUGAGGAAAGAAAAAAUAGUGAAACGAUGUGGGGAAAAAUGCCAAGCUGCAUCAAAUGAUCCUUCGGUCUUGAACCUUUUUAAUACAUGUUUUGAGCCUAUUAUAUCCAUUUUUUUUUAUGACCCUUCACCUUGACCUACAUUACAACCUUGAAAAGUCCAUUUAGAUCAAGUGUGAAUACUCAACUUGAAUGAUCAUAUGUUGAGCGAAGGCAUGCUCAUGAUGAAGCGAUGGAAUCAUGCUACAUUACCUUAAAAGUUUGAUGUAUGAAGGAUGUCAAUAAUAGGUGAAGAAUGAGAAAAAAAGAUGAUGAAAAAAAAGAAAAAGAAAAAAAAGAAAGAAGAAAAAAUGAAAAAAUGAAAAAAUGAAAAAAGAGAUCCAAAUUGAAAACCUGAAAGGGUGAUUUUGGUACCCAAAAAAAAAAAAAAAAAAAAAGAUCCAGGUCAAAUGGCUCACAUGAAUGAAAGUUCAAAGACAUCUGAAGAUUUCUCAAAGACUGGGGCAGAGUUCGCCAAGCUCAAGAUGACUUCAACAGUAAAUGAAUGAGUUUUUGAAAAAGAAUCCUAGAUUAAUGUUGAAAAUUGUCUGAAUAUUCAUCAUUUGGACAUACCAUUUACCUCAAUGACAUCCAAUUUAUUUCCUUUCCCAUUUAUUUUCUACCAAAAUAGAUCUCCAUUGAUUAUCUUUACCAUAAUUCACUUUCUGUCCUCUUAUUGUUACACCCUUAGAAUGAAUUGAGAAAAUGCUUGAUUGCAUUGUAUUUGUCAAAAUUUGAAAUGAUAAUGAAUGAAUGAACAUGUACUUAAAAGAAUCUUACAUUCAUUUGAAAAGAAAUCUAAGAUGAUGAAGAAAUGGUAGAAACCUAAAAGAGAUGAUGGGGCAAAUCUGGAAAAGUGAUGAAUUGAUCGAUAUGACUUGCAAGUUAUGAUUAAAUGAUGAAGACAAUCAGUGGACAGAGUUUGUUUUUGAAUGGUUAAUGCUGAGACAGAGUAAUGACCCAAUGAUGGUGGAUGAAACUUGUUUUGAAAAUUUGUUAUUGCUGAGAAAUUCAUUGAAUGAUGGUCAAGUGAUGAUCGAUUGAUGAAACUUAUUCCAAAGUAUUGAAAAACAGAACAAGGAAGAAUCUGAGUGGAAGAGACAAUUAAGAGCUACACUGGUUCGAUCUUAGAAGAGCAGUGCAAUUGGAUCCUUGAGGAAUCAAAGGGCUUGACACCCAAGAAAAAAAAAGAGCUUGAGAAACUUGAGUACCAUACAUUGAACAGGAAUUAAUUGACCAACAUUUGCAUAGCAUGCAUUGAAAUUCAUAUGCAUUUGCAUAGCAUACACUACUUUCAGGAAAGUAUAGUGUACAAAUUCAAGAAGCAGGGGUGUUCCAACAUCCCACAUGAAAAAGACAGAUAUAAAAAGACUUUGCAAGUUUGAGAAGAAACUUGUCAGGUAAGUUCCUAAUCCUCGAAAUAGGAUGUCUCUCGGUAUCAGGGUUGAUUUAUAAGACCUUUGGGCAUAAUCUCCUGAAAUCCCUUCAAACACAACUUUCAACUCCUUCGGACAUGAUUGUCUAGGAGUAUUUACUUUCCAAAGUUCGUUGCCUCUGUUUAGAGGAGCAAUUUAUUUUUUCAAAGUCGUGGUACCUCUGUUGAGAGGAGCAAUUUACUUUUCAAAGUUCGUUGCCUCUGUUUAGAGGAGCAAUUUAUUUUUCCAAAGUCGUGGUACCUCUGUUGAGAGGAGCAAUUUACUUUCCAAAGUUCGUUGCCUCUGUUUAGAGGAGCAAUUUACUUUCCAAAGUUCGUUGCCUCUGUUUAGAGGAGCAAUUUAUCUUUCCAAAGUCGUGGUGCCUCUGUUUAGAGGAGCAAUUUAUUUUUCAAAGUCGUAGAGCCUCUGUCAAGAGGAGCUAAAAAAAAAAAAAAAAAAAAUGAAAAUGUCGAGUCGGGUCUUGACUGGGUGUCUACGUCUUUGCGUAAUUUCUGUUUCACAGAAAAUACGCAAAGAGGGGCAGCUGUAGACACCCAAUCAGGUCCGGGCCCGGAUCAAUUGGGCCUGACCCAGAUCAUUUGGGCCUGGCCCAAAUGGGCAAGGCCCAAUUGAAUUUUUACCCGUAUUUUUUAUUUUUUAUUUUUAUUUUUUUUUCUCUCUUGUGUAUUUUAUUAUUUAUUAUUAUGUAUUAAUAUAUGUAUAUAUAUAUAUAUAUAUAUUUUUUUUCAUUAGAAUAGAUUUAUAUGUAUAUAGUUAUAUAUUUAUAUUAUUAUAUUAUUAUUCUUAUCUUUUUUUUUAAUUAUCUGUUCUGAUUUUUUCUGAUUUUCAGAUAUUAUUUGAAAAUUUUUUGUCUUUUGAUUUAUCUUUCCAAUUAUCUAGAUUUUUUUUUUAAUUUUAUUUUAAUUUUUAUUUUGGAGGGCUAGGAUUCAAAGUUGAAGACUCCCACUCUGAAGGGGAAUUCAAUCAGAAGAGUCCAAUUGGAUUCAAAGACUGAAUUCCCGUCCAAAGAGGAAUUGGGAUUGAUCAGAAACUCCUGAUCAAUCCCUAUAAAAAGGACCCCCCUGGAACAGUCAAGAACACACAGAAAACAGAAGCAAAAGCUACUGAUUGAGAGAAUAGGGGUGUUUAGAGAGCUAAGGAAAAGUUUAGGAGUGUUCUGGCAGUGAGAAAAAUUUUUUAGAAAAAUUUGGCGAAAAAAUUUUUUGGAAAUUUCUGGGAAAUUUCCAGAUUCCGACGAAAAUUCCGGCGACUUUUGAAUUUU